RNAcentral lists this ribosomal RNA (490 nucleotides) under uncultured bacterium. RNAcentral describes it as "partial 16S ribosomal RNA". It matches the Rfam family "Bacterial small subunit ribosomal RNA", at positions 29 to 507 of the family's 1533-position model. The record is from RNAcentral.
AGUGAACGCUGGCGGCAGGCCUAACACAUGCAAGUCGAACGGCAGCACAAGAGAGCUUGCUCUCUGGGUGGCGAGUGGCGGAGGGGUGAGGAAUGCAUAGGAAUCUGCCCAUUUGUGGGGGAUAACCUGGGGAAACAGGGACUAAUACAGCAUACGACCUACGGGGGAAAGCAGGGGAUCUUCGGACCUUGCGCAGAUGGAUGAGCCGAUGCCGGAUUAGCUAGUUGGAGGGGUAAAGGCGCACCAAGGCGACGAUCCGUAGCUGGUCUGAGAGGAUGAUCAGCCACACUGGAACUGAGACACGGCCCAGACUCCUACGGGAGGCAGCAGUGGGGAAUAUUGGACAAUGGGCGCAAGCCUGAUCCAGCCAUGCCGCGUGUGUGAAGAAGGCCUUCGGGUUGUAAAGCACUUUUGUUGGGAAAGAAAAGCAGCCGGUUAAUACCCGGUUGUCAUGACGGUACCCAAAGAAUAAGCACCGGCUAACUUCGUG